Gallus gallus (chicken) is the source of this 846-nucleotide long non-coding RNA. RefSeq lists it as uncharacterized. The record is from RefSeq and is a predicted model, not a curated record. NCBI's taxonomy places the organism in Eukaryota, Metazoa, Chordata, Aves, Galliformes, Phasianidae. The transcript has 3 exons.
GGCUCUUCUGACUGGAUCUUCUCUAACUGCUACUCUUACAUAGCUUUCCAGUCAAGGAUGGCACAGGAGGAAAGCAACUUAUUUCCUUGCUUCUUCUGACAAACACAUGCUCUCCAGAGCAGACAGAUGCCUUAAAAUCAGAUAUAGGGCAUCAGUUCAUCUUUUGGGUUCAGCUGUAGCAUAUAAAGCAUUUGCUGGCUCUGGUCUAAUGCUUUUUGACGUUGUCAGACCCUCUUCAGUUAACUUCUGCCUUGAAACCAACUUGACAGCAAGUAUUGUUCCACAUUUAUUAAUACUGUACAUGUCAUCUUCAGACUGACAUGUUUCAAAGCCAGGCAUCAGCUGUGUUCAGCUCUGGCUUGAAAAAAAAUAUGCAGACAACAGCACAGACCUCCUGCUACUAACAAGUAAAUAGAUAAAUAAUGUGAUCACAGUGCAGCCCCAAAGCCUGGGAUUCUUUUCCAUGCCCACAGUGCUGCAGUUUGGUGCACCAGCGAAUGACACUGUAAAGCUCCUGGGUCUAAGCACUCUCCUUUGCGUGUUUACCUUCAUCCUCUGCAGGAGAUUAAUGUGGUUUGUCAGUCUGAAAAACAUGUUUAUAACACCAGAAACCACUAUAACCUUGGCAGUAUGCACUGGAAUUAAACGUCAUAAAAUUCAGACAUCCAAAUUUGUCUGCUUUGGUUUUACAUGACAAGUUCUUUCACAGUAGUUCUCCUGUGCCUCCGGUGCCAUUGGCACAGUGCAGCAGUCAAGAGGUGAUACCUGAAGUACUGUUAUUAUUUAUGUCACAGGUCUUCCUAAAACAGAAUAAAAUACUACUCUGAGUGGCUGAAAUGAACAUAA